RNAcentral lists this unclassified non-coding RNA (1278 nucleotides) under Leishmania donovani. RNAcentral's name for it is "gene:LdHU3.36.8600(CDS-product:ADP-ribosylation_f actor-like_protein_3b_putative)". Lineage: Eukaryota; Euglenozoa; Kinetoplastea; Trypanosomatida; Trypanosomatidae. The record is from RNAcentral.
CCGUGGAUGUGAUGCCGCCGGAGAUGUGCGCGACGUGCAGGGAUACAUGCUCCUGCCAGUAUUCUCAUCUGCGCUACUGCAAACGCUUUACUUCAUGCGUCUGCGAAGCUCGUCGCCUUGCGAGCGGAAGCCUUUACCACCACCUCUCAACAUAAGGCAGUACGACGCAUAAGCGUGCACGAGGUGUGUGUGGGAGGGAGGGAGGGCAGGCGAUGACACGCUGCCUGUCGCGCCUACGUAAACGAAACAGUCAUUGCACACGAGGACGAGUAGGCAGCUGUCAUGGGCAUCUUAGACUUCUUGAUGCGGAUCCGCCCCACCAGUAGACCGGCGGGUAUUUUGAUUCUAGGUCUCGACAACGCUGGCAAGACAAGCAUCCUGCGCCAGCUCAGUGACGAGGAUAUCUCGCACGUCGCGUCCACGCAGGGAUUUCAGAUUAAGAAGCUUGUUACCGGCGGAAUCAAGAUCAACGUUUGGGAUAUGGGAGGCCAGCGCGCGGCGCGCUACUACUGGCGACAGUACUUCAAAGAGGCGGACGUCGUCAUCUACGUCAUCGAUGCGGCUGAUCCUCGGCGCAUCCGCGAGGCACGCCGUGAGCUGGAACACCUCCUGGAGGAAGAGAAGGUGGCAGGGGUGCCAAUGCUGGUCUUCGCGAACAAGCAGGAUUUGCUGGGUGCGAUGUCGGUAGAAGAGGUCUCCGUAGCACUCAACCUGACAGAUUUGCGAGACCGCCGCUGGCACAUUCAGGCGUGCUCAGCCAAAACAGGCGAGGGGCUGGAUGAGGGCAUCAGCUGGGCCGUGAAGCAGGUGAAGAAGUGACCAGCUAUAUGGCUUCUGCAUGCGUUGCCUCUAUCCCGGUAAGGAUCUCGGCUUCUUCUCCCCGUUUCUUUCUAUCUUCCUAUGUGUUCUGCUGAUGGGGCGUUUUGGUGCGUCUUCUCUGAUUCUUGAAAUGGAUUACUCAAACGACUUCGCUGCGCCCUAGCUUGUCCGUGCACAGUUGCGUGUGCGCGACUGCCUCGUGAGCGUUUAUGAGAUCCAUUUAAUUUGGCGUGUGUGGGUGUACGCGCGUGCACGUGCCAGGUCCACCUCGGCCAUCACAUGUGUGUUUGGUGCGACGUGCGUGGACGUCUUUUCCGCGUUCCCCCCCACCCCGUGCGCAUGUGCAUAAGUGUCUUUUUUUUUCUGCGCCUUCCUCAUGUCUCUCUCUGGGGCAUGGAGACACCGUAGCGCGGUCUCUUGGCGUUCACUACCCUAACUCUGCGUGGCUUCGUCACACAG